This 1716-nucleotide long non-coding RNA is filed under the name Linum usitatissimum (flax). Its description in RNAcentral is "long non-coding RNA (LUSI_LNC005258)". The record is from RNAcentral. Lineage: Eukaryota; Viridiplantae; Streptophyta; Magnoliopsida; Malpighiales; Linaceae.
GGAACUUCAGAUCUGCCAGGGAGGUCUAUUUUACACUUGCACAAAUCCUAGGCAGCCUAGUCUGCUAGAACUUCAAGAGUUUUGGACCUCCUUUAGUUGUCAUCAACAUUACAAGCUUAAAAAGGUGCAUCUCAUAUCAUCUUAGGGGGCAGCCGUUCAAUGAAAUACUUGAUGAGUUCCACCAAUCAUUGGUUUUUGCCAUAGAUAUUCUCAUGCUCUCCUAGCCAUACAAAAAAGGCAAUAAACUGACCACUAUCCGAGACGAGGUCCGAGUGCUGUGGAGGAAAAUUACUAACAAUCCCGACCCCAUCGUCAACUUCAACACAUCUGAGUCAUCCUACACUCACAUCCUUGAUUCGAUGGCUCGAUUUUUCUGCCUUCUCUGGCAUUAUGGUCUCGUCUAUAGAGACAAGGGGGAGCGUGGUCACCACGACAUCCUUAAGGAAGAACUCAUCUUCCUCCUCACGAUCAGAAAGAAACGACCACUCCACAUCUGUUGGGAAGAUGGUGGCACUACCAAGCGUUUUGUUUGUAUCUUGGUUGGUCCAACCGAAGGGCUUCCAGAACAGGUGGGAUGGGGUGCCUGGACGUCCUGCACCAGAGACAAAGUGGCUUUGAGCCAACAUCCUUCAGCGACAAGAAGACAUCGAUCUUGACCUCAAACUACUCGAUUCAAAGAUUAUCCUCGCUCGCCAUGCAUGCUAUGAAGUUUCGAAAGCUCAGCGGGACAUGCACCACUACAGGUAGGGGUGGAGGCCGUAACCGUAGAGGGAACAGACAUGGAGCAGCUACUGCUCUGGGCGAUUAGGAGAUUCCAUCAUUGCAGGACUUUCAGUAGCCAACACCAUUCCUGCUACCACCGCCAGUUUAGAUGUGGGAGGGUAUCCAGCAGUGGCAGAGGGUGUGGGCGCUACCACCGCCAGUUUAGAUGUGGGAGGUUAUCCAGCAGUGGCAGAUGUCUUGGCAGUUUACCCUGGUAGCACCAGUAACAAAUUGCUGGCAGACAUCAUUUUCUCAAGGGCAGCUUCAAGGGCAAGCGACUUGGUAGUAUUAUCAGGAUACGCAACAGGGCAGAAGGCCCAAAGAUGGUACUUUGAACAAUAGUAGAAGAAAGAGCAAGAGCAGUACACCAAGUAUAUGAUGUACCUCUGCUACCUCACUCCCCAUAAGCUCGGGUUGGAUUACUCUCCACCUUCUCCUCCUCGUGGAGACCAGUGACCAGGUUCCUUGAUUCUUGUAGGACUUUUUCAUUACUUUCUUUUUCUGAUCUUAAAUCCAAUUUUAUUCUAUGUGGGAAUUGGGCACUUGUCCUAGUUCAUAAAUUACUUUUUUUUUGUUGGUAUGUUUUUGUCUGUUUCAUGAGUUAGUGUCGCCAUCGAGUUUGAGCUCGUGCAUCAUGCUCUCUUGUCUCUUUGGUUUCUCACAACUUCCAGGUAUGCCUGUGCUGCUUCUCUAUUUUGUUUAGUGAGGACACAAUAGAAACUAAGUGUGGGGUGCAUAUGCAUUGGAUGUCCGUUAGCUAGUUGAUGGCGUUCUUUUUGUCAUGUGUAUCAUCUCCAUUUAAGCAAAAUUUGAUGCAUAAUUUUUUAAUUUGGGUAGAGGGUUAGGGUGUUUUUUACGUUUUAAUCUUUUAUCUUGAUUUAGUGUCUCAGACCCAAUCAGGGUCCAUUUGAUGUCAUUUUGGAGUGUUUUUUUAUAGAUUUCAGGUACUUAACG